GAUGAAGAACGUAGCGAAAUGCGAUACGUAAUGUGAAUUGCAGAAUUCAGUGAAUCAUCGAGUCUUUGAACGCACAUUGCGCCCUCUGGUAUUCCGGGGGGCAUGCCUGUUCGAGCGUCAUUAUAACCACUCAAGCUCUCGCUUGGUAUUGGGGUUCGCGGUUUCGCGGCCCCUAAAAUCAGUGGCGGUGCCUGUCGGCUCUACGCGUAGUAAUACUUCUCGCGAUUGAGUUCGAUAGGUCUACUUGCCAGUAACCCCCAAUUUUUACAGGUUGACCUCGGAUCAGGUAGGGAUACCCGCUGAACUUAAGCAUAUCAAUAAGCGGAGGA
RNAcentral lists this unclassified non-coding RNA (329 nucleotides) under soil metagenome. RNAcentral describes it as "partial contains 5.8S ribosomal RNA, internal transcribed spacer 2, and large subunit ribosomal RNA". The stretch from base 1 to 120 matches the Rfam family "5.8S ribosomal RNA", at positions 35 to 154 of the family's 154-position model. The record is from RNAcentral.